RNAcentral lists this long non-coding RNA (215 nucleotides) under Gossypium barbadense (sea-island cotton). RNAcentral's name for it is "long non-coding RNA (GBAR_LNC007385)". The record is from RNAcentral. Lineage: Eukaryota; Viridiplantae; Streptophyta; Magnoliopsida; Malvales; Malvaceae.
UGUAAUACCCCUACCCGUAUUCAUUGCCGGAAUAGGGUACGAGGCAUUACUGGAGUUUACGAAUUAAAUUUUUUUUAUAUUCAAUAUAGCCCUUUUAUAAAUAUCUAACCUUCCCUGUAAUAUUAAAUCGAGACCAAUCCACAUCAACCAAAUCAAUUCAACAUAUUUUCAUGAUAGAUUCAUGCAUUUAUAUAAGAUAACGUCAUCACAUAUCU